CCUACGGGAGGCUGCAGUGAGGAAUAUUGGUCAAUGGGCGCGAGCCUGAACCAGCCAAGUCGCGUGAGGGAAGACGGCCCUACGGGUUGUAAACCUCUUUUGCCGGGGAGCAACGGGCGUCACGUGUGGCGCCACUGAGAGUACCCGGAGAAUAAGCAUCGGCUAACUCCGUGCCAGCAGCCGCGGUAAUACGGAGGAUGCGAGCGUUAUCCGGAUUUAUUGGGUUUAAAGGGUGCGUAGGCGGAUGGUUAAGUCAGUGGUAACAUUGAGGGGCUCAACCCCUUCCAGCCAUUGAAACUGGCGCGAGUGAGUGGAAGAGAAGUAUGCGGAAUGAGUGGUGUAGCGGUGAAAUGCAUAGAUAUCACGCAGAACCCCGAUUGCGAAGGCAGCAUGCCGGCUUCCGACGGACGCUGAGGCACGAAAGCGUGGGGAUCGAACAGGAUUAGAUACCCUGGUAGUC
Molecule: ribosomal RNA, 460 nt
Filed under: uncultured bacterium
Lineage: Bacteria
Description: partial 16S ribosomal RNA
Rfam family: Bacterial small subunit ribosomal RNA
Source: RNAcentral